This 1464-nucleotide long non-coding RNA is filed under the name Urocitellus parryii (Arctic ground squirrel). RNAcentral describes it as "lncRNA (ENSUPAG00010018359.1)". The record is from RNAcentral. Lineage: Eukaryota; Metazoa; Chordata; Mammalia; Rodentia; Sciuridae.
GGUCAGAGCUCUCCCUGACUCCUCCUCUCCCUCCAGAACUUCCUGCUGCAGACUUCUAAGAGUAAAGGCAGCACCUGGAUGGGACUGUCAGACCUGAACGAGGAAGCCACGUGGCACUGGGUGGAUGGGUCACCUCUGUCACCCAGCCUCACGUACUGGAAGGAAGGAGAGCCCAACAACGUGGGGGAGGAAGACUGUGCGGAGAUCACUGACAGCGGCUGGAAUGACGCCAAGUGUGACGCUGAGAAAUUCUGGGUCUGCAAGACCUCCUCCUCCUCCUGCCCCAACACCUGAACGCGGUUUCUCUCACCUGUCACCGCCGCCCGACCUGGCCGGACAGGUGGUCGAGCUUGACCCCAGUGUCCUUCCUCUUGCCUGUGAGCCCUGGAUCUUAGCAAAGCCCGGAUUCCCUGUCUUGGAGUCCUCGUCAUCUAAGGGGCUGGACGGCGAGGGUCCUUCCUUCGAUGUCCGCAGGUUCUCGCGGGCUUAGCGGUCGUUUCUGGUCCCCCUUUAUGGUUGAAUGCAGUGACCAGGUGUCUGGUGCAUCAGGACCUGGGGCAGUCCAUUCAUCUACUCUGCCUUCCCUGUAGGGUUGGGUGGCCAGGUGCAGCCUGGCUGUCCCCUGUCCUCUGUCCCUGCACACCUUCCUUCCAUCUGCUCAACUUCCAUCCACCUCCCUGCAGCCCUGGCCCCGGGACCUUCCCUGGUUGCUGGAGCUCCUCCUGCAGGCUGGACGCAGCUGGGAAGGGGUUCCCCAGCCAAGGACUGAAGAGAGUCGGAGGAUGAGACCCCAGCUCCCUCUCCUGUGAUGCCCAGUGGACCCUGCAGUCCGGCUCCCGAUCUCUCUUCAAGGAAGGACAUGCGGCCUGGCUGAGGGCAGUCCCCUCCCGCCUCGGGUCUCCUACAGGGAGCUGCUUCCUGUGGGUGGGCUCCCUUCCUGACCCAUCCCAUACGGGUGCAGGAGGGUGACGAUGUGGCCGUGGUGGGCCAACAUGGGGCAGCUCUGAAGGACCCUUCUGGUGCCAUGGCUCCCGGGGGGUCAGCUGUGGCUCUAUCAGAGCUCGGCUGACCUCUUCCUCCACCCCACCGUGCUCCCCUUCGCGGACAUAACAGAAGAUCUGUUUGCUCUUGGUGCUGAUAUUGAGCCGUGGGUGUGCCCUUGGGUAUUUUAGUCUGCUCCCUCACACCUGAAUUUAGACUCAUCAGGUGACUUAGUCGGGGGUCUCUAGGAACCUGAGGAUGGGAACAACCGCUAAACCUCCAGGGAGGGGCGUGGAGACGGAGCUAUACAAAUUCCGGAAGAGGAGCUUUGGCAGUUCCACAGCUGGGGGACAUGAGGAAGUGUCGGAGGGUGGCCCCUGGGAGAGGCACAGACUCACCCCACAAGAUUCUCUCCCUCCCUUCUUGGGUUCACCUGUUCCGUGUGUCUGUUUCCUUCAUAAUAAACCAGUGUUUCCCUUAUCA